RNAcentral lists this long non-coding RNA (1005 nucleotides) under Brassica napus (rape). Its description in RNAcentral is "long non-coding RNA (BNAP_LNC024612)". The record is from RNAcentral. Lineage: Eukaryota; Viridiplantae; Streptophyta; Magnoliopsida; Brassicales; Brassicaceae.
CAAUCCGUAAAUGGUAUAUGGACUCGGGAGUCGUCAGGUGAGUUAAGUGCACGACGUCCACUCUAUCUUCUCCUCUUUCUAGAGAUUUCUCAUACAAUGUAUCCGAGGUUUCAUCCAUUGUGCCGUAGAUGUAGUCAUACAAGGGCAUGAAGAGGGAGUAGUUAGUUCGGAAUUGGGUGUGGUGCAGCGAGUGGAAUCUGCAACUCUCAUUAUGAUCAUUUUACCAUCCAAAAGAAGGAUAUUACAACAAUAAGGGUGUUUUAUCACAUUCCGCUCGUUAUAGAUAUACGGAAAACACAAAGCUGUGUUAAUAACUCUACACUUUAGAAGAGCCAUAUACCCUAAUGAAUUUGAUAUUUACUUUUCUAAGGCUGUUUGGUUAAAUAGGCUCUAAAUACAUCAUAUUGUGGAAAAUUGGAUUAUGUGCAUAUAGAUUAUAUUGUAUUUUUAUGUGGUCCAUGUAUUCGGUAGUUAACAACAAAAAAAAAGGGUACAAGUAUGUCUGGUCACCUUUUUGUACAUGAAAGGAGAAUGUACGUAUACAUGCAAAUGCAAGUGAAAUUUUUAUUUUUGAGAAAAGAAAAUGCAAGUGAUGCGGAUAAAAAUUAAUAAUAAUAAUUAAAAUAGUUGUUUGUAUUUUUUUAUGUAAAGAAUGGUUUCCGGUUAAUGCAUAGGUAAGUCAAAAUUGUUUUGAAAAAAAACUGGUACUAAAUUUUGACAUAUAUAUAGCCGACAGAAAUAAAUGUAUAUAUAUAUGGUACGAAAGUGCAAGGACUUACGAGGGAGUGUAGCAGAGGUACUUGAGUGGAGGAAAGAGGUGGAAAAGGCGCUUAGGGACGAGCUCGAAGUUGCAGUGUCCCAUGUUGUUCAUGAAGUCUAUGUAGAUUACAUAUCCGGAGAACGACGCUAUGGAUGCCGUUUUCGUUAACAACGUUGUCAACAAUGGUAUGGCGAAAAGAAUGAAGUAUGCUAUAUGCUCCGCGAAUGGAUGUAUCACCGCUGAAU